This 301-nucleotide ribosomal RNA is filed under the name uncultured bacterium. RNAcentral describes it as "partial 16S ribosomal RNA". It matches the Rfam family "Bacterial small subunit ribosomal RNA", at positions 509 to 809 of the family's 1533-position model. The record is from RNAcentral.
CAGUCGCCGCGGGAACACGUAGGGUGCAAGCGUUAAUCGGAAUUACUGGGCGUAAAGCGUGCGCAGGCGGUUAUAUAAGACAGAUGUGAAAUCCCCGGGCUCAACCUGGGAACUGCAUUUGUGACUGUAUAGCUAGAGUACGGCAGAGGGGGAUGGAAUUCCGCGUGUAGCAGUGAAAUGCGUAGAUAUGCGGAGGAACACCGAUGGCGAAGGCAAUCCCCUGGGCCUGUACUGACGCUCAUGCACGAAAGCGUGGGGAGCAAACAGGAUUAGAUACCCCUGUAGUCCCUGUCUCUUAUAA